This 253-nucleotide ribosomal RNA is filed under the name uncultured bacterium. RNAcentral's name for it is "partial 16S ribosomal RNA". It matches the Rfam family "Bacterial small subunit ribosomal RNA", at positions 524 to 776 of the family's 1533-position model. The record is from RNAcentral.
GACAGAGGGGGCAAGCGUUGCUCGGAAUUACUGGGCGUAAAGGGCGCGUAGGCGGGAUGGCAAGUCGGUCGUGAAAUCCUUCGGCUCAACCGAAGAACGUCGAUCGAUACUGCUGUUCUUGAGGGUUGCAGAGGAGACUGGAAUUCCCGGUGUAGCGGUGAAAUGUGUAGAUAUCGGGAGGAACACCAGUGGCAAAGGCGAUCUUCUGGACGGAUACUGACGCUGAGGCGCGAAAGCUAGGGGAGCAAACGGG